GCCUGGGUGGCUCAGUUGGUUGAGCCUCUGACUUCAGCUCAGGUCAUGAUCUCGCAGUUCGUGAGUUCGAGCCCCGCAUCAGGCU
Molecule: transfer RNA, 85 nt
Filed under: Felis catus (domestic cat)
Lineage: Eukaryota; Metazoa; Chordata; Mammalia; Carnivora; Felidae
Rfam family: tRNA
About the family: Transfer RNA (tRNA) molecules are approximately 80 nucleotides in length. Their secondary structure includes four short double-helical elements and three loops (D, anti-codon, and T loops).
Source: Rfam by way of RNAcentral